UAGUUAAACUCUACUAUUAAAGG
This 23-nucleotide transfer RNA is filed under the name Diadema antillarum. RNAcentral's name for it is "partial tRNA-Lys". The record is from RNAcentral. Lineage: Eukaryota; Metazoa; Echinodermata; Echinoidea; Diadematoida; Diadematidae.